UGGGGAAUCUUGCGCAAUGGGCGAAAGCCUGACGCAGCGACGCCGCGUGAGCGAUGAAGGCCUUCGGGUUGUAAAGCUCUGUGGAUAGAGACGAAGAAGUGUAAGUUAACACCUUGCACGGUGACGGUAUCUAUUUAGCAAGCACCGGCUAACUCUGUGCCAGCAGCCGCGGUAAGACAGAGGGUGCAAACGUUGUUCGGAAUUACUGGGCGUAAAGCGCGUGUAGGCGGCUUAGCAAGUCGGAUGUGAAAUCCCGUGGCUCAACCAUGGAAGUGCACCCGAAACUGCUUCGCUAGAGUAUCGGAGAGGAAAGUGGAAUGCUUGGUGUAGAGGUGAAAUUCGUAGAUAUCAAGCGGAACACCGGUGGCGAAGGCGGCUUUCUGGACGAUUACUGACGCUG
RNAcentral lists this ribosomal RNA (400 nucleotides) under uncultured bacterium. RNAcentral describes it as "bacterial SSU rRNA". It matches the Rfam family "Bacterial small subunit ribosomal RNA", at positions 355 to 748 of the family's 1533-position model. The record is from RNAcentral.